Rhinolophus ferrumequinum (greater horseshoe bat) is the source of this 793-nucleotide RNA transcript. It is a transcript of the gene named regulated endocrine specific protein 18, with no coding region annotated. The transcript has 6 exons. Lineage: Eukaryota; Metazoa; Chordata; Mammalia; Chiroptera; Rhinolophidae. The record is from RefSeq and is a predicted model, not a curated record.
UGCGGCUCCGGUUGCGGUUCCCGCAGCGAAGCGAGCGCGCCAGGCGAGGCCACGCAGCGGCCGCGGCUGGCGCGAGGGGCCCGGGGCCCAGCAGGGAUGCGUCUGUUUCUUUGCUUCCUACUGUAGAGCAGUCGCCCCGGGGGCUGGGACGCCGUUAGUCCCCAGGAACUGUUGUGGAAGGAUGGUGUCACUCCAGCUCUGAAGACCCAGAAGAUACCCAGGCUCCAUGCCCCAGAGACCUGCAUGAGGAAUGGGCAGGCAGACUUUGCCACCAAAACCACUGAGCUGAGGGGCAAGCAUGAAGAGAAACUUCAGCUAUUGUUCCCUAAGAGUCCAGUGACUGAGGUGAAGAGAGAGCACUGCUUGAAGAGCACUGCGGAAGUGGUUCCAAAAGUCCUGAAGCAAGAGCUGACCAACCAUGGCAAGGACCCGCUGCAGGUUUGUUCUGGAAGGAUGACAUCACCCAGAAUGUGCUGACCCAGAAGAUGGAGCACGUCAGCAUACUCCACCCCCAAGAUCCCUGUCUGAGGGAUGGGCAGGGGGCCUUUCCCACCAAAACCACUGGGGUGAGGUGCAUGAGGUCUAUGGUCAGUCCAUGCUGUCUGGCGGACAGACAGAGCAGGGAGAGAACAGGUAUUAAAACUGCAGGCCUUCUUUGAGCUGCCCCCACUGUGAGCCACAACCUUGUCACUGACUGAGACCUUGUGAGAAGGCUCUCUGCCCCACUGCCCUCUCCAUUGCCCUCCAGAGGGGGCAGUUCUAGGACGACCCAAUUCUGGAUCAUUAAAGUGGA